RNAcentral lists this ribosomal RNA (274 nucleotides) under uncultured bacterium. Its description in RNAcentral is "partial 16S ribosomal RNA". It matches the Rfam family "Bacterial small subunit ribosomal RNA", at positions 523 to 796 of the family's 1533-position model. The record is from RNAcentral.
AUACGGAGGGUGCAAGCGUUACUCGGAAUCACUGGGCGUAAAGCGCGCGCAGGUGGCUAUUUAAGUUGGAUGUGAAAGCCUACGGCUCAACCGUAGAACUGCAUCCAAAACUAUUUAGCUAGAGUGUGGGAGAGGAAGAUGGAAUUAGUUGUGUAGGGGUAAAAUCCGUAGAGAUAACUAGGAAUACCAAAAGCGAAGGCAAUCUUCUGGAACACUACUGACGCUGAGGCGCGAAAGCGUGGGGAGCAAACGGGAUUAGAAACCCUAGUAGUCC